UACGAAGGGGGCUAGCGUUGCUCGGAAUCACUGGGCGUAAAGCGCACGUAGGCGGAUUGCUAAGUCAGGGGUGAAAUCCUGGAGCUCAACUCCAGAACUGCCUUUGAUACUGGCGAUCUUGAGUCCGGGAGAGGUGAGUGGAACUGCGAGUGUAGAGGUGAAAUUCGUAGAUAUUCGGAGGAACACCAGUGGCGAAGGCGGCUCGCUGGCUCGAUACUGACGCUGAGGUGCGAAAGCGUGGGGAGCAAACAGG
This 253-nucleotide ribosomal RNA is filed under the name uncultured bacterium. Its description in RNAcentral is "partial 16S ribosomal RNA". It matches the Rfam family "Bacterial small subunit ribosomal RNA", at positions 524 to 776 of the family's 1533-position model. The record is from RNAcentral.